Molecule: ribosomal RNA, 926 nt
Filed under: uncultured Bacteroidota bacterium
Lineage: Bacteria; Pseudomonadati; Bacteroidota
Description: bacterial SSU rRNA
Rfam family: Bacterial small subunit ribosomal RNA
Source: RNAcentral
UGGAUCCAGACUUUGAUCAUGGCUCAGGAUGAACGCUAGCUACAGGCUUAACACGUGCAAGUCGAGGGGAAACGACAUCGAAAGCUUGCUUUUGAUGGGCGUCGACCGGCGCACGGGUGAGUAACGCGUAUCCAACCUGCCCACCACUUGGGGAUAACCUUGCGAAAGUAAGACUAAUACCCAAUGAUAUCUCUAGAAGACAUCUGAAAGAGAUUAAAGAUUUAUCGGUGAUGGAUGGGGAUGCGUCUGAUUAGCUUGUUGGCGGGGUAACGGCCCACCAAGGCGACGAUCAGUAGGGGUUCUGAGAGGAAGGUCCCCCACAUUGGAACUGAGACACGGUCCAAACUCCUACGGGAGGCAGCAGUGAGGAAUAUUGGUCAAUGGGCGAGAGCCUGAACCAGCCAAGUAGCGUGCAGGACGACGGCCCUAUGGGUUGUAAACUGCUUUUAUAAGGGAAUAAAGUGAGUCUCGUGAGAUUUUUUGCAUGUACCUUAUGAAUAAGGACCGGCUAAUUCCGUGCCAGCAGCCGCGGUAAUACGGAAGGUCCGGGCGUUAUCCGGAUUUAUUGGGUUUAAAGGGAGCGUAGGCCGGAGAUUAAGCGUGUUGUGAAAUGUAGACGCUCAACGUCUGCACUGCAGCGCGAACUGGUUUCCUUGAGUACGCACAAAGUGGGCGGAAUUCGUGGUGUAGCGGUGAAAUGCUUAGAUAUCACGAAGAACUCCGAUUGCGAAGGCAGCUCACUGGAGCGCAACUGACGCUGAAGCUCGAAAGUGCGGGUAUCGAACAGGAUUAGAUACCCUGGUAGUCCGCACGGUAAACGAUGGAUGCCCGCUGUUGGUCUGAAUAGGUCAGCGGCCAAGCGAAAGCAUUAAGCAUCCCACCUGGGGAGUACGCCGGCAACGGUGCAACUCAAAUGAAUUGACGGA